Long non-coding RNA from Cynoglossus semilaevis (tongue sole), 1908 nucleotides. RefSeq lists it as uncharacterized. The record is from RefSeq and is a predicted model, not a curated record. NCBI's taxonomy places the organism in Eukaryota, Metazoa, Chordata, Actinopteri, Pleuronectiformes, Cynoglossidae. The transcript has 6 exons.
GUUUUUUUGUUAUUUCUUUUCCAUUCUGCUGAUCUCAGAACAGUCCGACCGUGACUUCCACUCAGGCCUGGUGUCGUGGAGAACCGCAGCACGCCGCUCAGCGCCAACCUCUAAACCCUCUGCCUGGUUUGAUGGCGGUGCAGUGGUAAAGCGUAACGACUGGAGAGCAGCAGGAAAAAGUGGUCAUUUUUCUAGACAUGAAGAAAAACCUGGAGUUAAAGAAAAGUAAAAACGGGAACGACUAAAAACAAUAGUAAUAAAUUAAAGAGGAAAAAAAAAUUCAAGUCAACAAUUCGUCAUCGUCAACAACAACAACGAAAGACAUUCAAAUAAAUACAGUGGAAUGUAGUUCUCUAUUCUCUAGGCCUGAUGUCGGCACAUUCUCUGGAACUCUCCUCGGACUUCACGCCAUCCGUAUUUCCACGUUUCCCACAUUUUUUUAAAAAAUAUAUUUUUUCACAUCUGCUUCAAACUCUGUAAGUGCUGGAUGUCAAGUUUUUUUUUUUUUUUGGAGCUAAACCAUAAGGCGUAACUGACCUGGAGCUGAAGUUUGGUGGGUCAGAGUGGAAGACGUGACGUUGAAGACAAACAAACAAACAAACAAACAAACGACAGAGGACGAGGGUCACGACCAGAGCAGUGACAGAACUGGGCAAAGAACAGACAACAGCGUCUCCUCCUGUCCUCUCUCAGUCCCUGUCUGUUCCUCCUGUCUCAUUGACGUCCUCCUCACCCUCUGUGGUAGAACCUUCUCCUGCCUUUCACACAGUUCUGUCACCUUGUCCUGGUCCCCGACCACAGAAGAAGAACCUGACGUCACGGCGGAGCAGGAAGGCGUUCUGCUUCUUUACAUUCUUCAGCCACUCUUCCUCAGAUUCUACGAGAUGAAUCAGCUCUGCAGCAGUCACAUGACUGGGUUUCUCUCCGAUGACCUUUGACCUCACUCAUCCACAGUACAGUAAAUCAUCAGUGACAGACAGGUCGACAGCCUCGCAUUGCAUCGUGGGUAAUCCAGACUGAAGUAAAGCUGAUCGUUCGGGAGCUUCGUUCUGCUGAGCUGCUGUGCUUUGAGUGAUGACCUCAGAGACCAGCUGUGAUGAUGUCAUCAUGACGGAAUCUUCAUUCACGGCCACUGGCCGAGUAGGAAAACUGGGGGAAGUGAGGUCUUCGCUCAUUGUCCAGACAGUCCAUCCCAUCUUCAUCAACUGAGAGAGGGAGGAGGGAAGGAGGAAAGGAAAAGAAGAAACAGCAGCUGCAGGUGCAGCACCGGCCGUCUGAGUCGAUGGGGAGCAGUCUGUUGUAAAGCCAUCAUCUGAUGGAGUGGCUUCUGCAGCAUUCAGGAGUCGCAGCUUCACCCAUGCUGCAUACAUCGAAGGACUUGGAGCAAAGUCUGCUUUUUGUAAAAGCCACAUGUUGUGUGAACUACAUUUUCCUGGCAUUUUGUCAGGAAACAGUAUCUAUAUAGCAUGUUAACGAACCAAAACAAGGAAUUUGCAAUUUCCAGAGAUUUUCUAGGUUUUUUUUUAUUGUACAAACCUUGUUUGAAGAUUGGGAUGUUGAUAUUGUCACAGCAGUUCACUGUCUGACUUUGUUACUUGUUACUUCACGAACACAUCUAUUGCAUAUUUCUAAUUAAACAAUUAAACUCAUAAUUGUUAUUACUGUCACUACUGCUUUCUUUGUUUAUUCUUUUGUUCUUUGUGUUUAUAUCAUUUGUAAUAUGUGAGUGAAAUCUUAAUUUUGCCUGUUAUGUUAGUCAAACAGUGGAAAAAUAUGUUGAAAAUUUUGGAGAAUAAAUUUCAAAAUUUAGUGGUUACCACAUCCUAAUUGCAUGUGUCUUGUGGUCAGAUGGUACAAAAUUUUAUUUUUCUGCACGUUUCUCAUCUAAUAAAAGCAUUUUAAAAAAUU